RNAcentral lists this ribosomal RNA (157 nucleotides) under uncultured bacterium. RNAcentral describes it as "partial 16S ribosomal RNA". It matches the Rfam family "Bacterial small subunit ribosomal RNA", at positions 1342 to 1500 of the family's 1533-position model. The record is from RNAcentral.
UGGCAGGUCAGCAUACUGCCGUGAAUACGUUCCCGGGCCUUGUACACACCGCCCGUCACACCAUGAGAGUUGGGAAUACCCGGAGCCUGUGAGCCAACAAACGAGGCAGCAGUCGAAGGUAGAAUCAAUGAUUGGGGUGAAGUCGUAACAAGGUACC